UCGCGGCCCGGUACCAAACGACUCACGGACCGGUACCGGUCCACGGCCCGGGGAUUGGGGACCGCUGCUUUACAGCAUUCAUCAUUUUAUGCCACCAGAAGCGGAGAUUCACUCCUGGAUGAAAGUUGCUUUCAGCCACCAGCUGCUUCUCAAACAGGCCAACAUCUUCAUGCCUCGGCGUUCUAUGGCAGAGAGGAUAAAGGUCACCAUGAAGGUCACAGAAAAAGAUCCAGCGAGGGAGGUGACUCAGCUGCAUGUCUGCGUGGGAGGGAAGAAAGCUAAGAAGGACUGUGAACAAGAAGAAGAAAACAGAAUUAUGAAAAGGAGGGAGGCCGCUUUCCAACACCACAUGUGGCGGUUCCGGCCCGUGGAAUCGAUAGGCUGGGAGCUGGAGGGGAGGCUUCCCGGAGCCUGCAGCCAACAGUUGCUGAGGGGGGGAUAUGGAGAGAGUGGAGAGGAGAGGAGAGUGGAGUGGAGUGGAGCGGGAACUAUUUUUUGCACUGCUUGACUAAAUAUGGUCAGGGAGGUGGUGAGACAAGACACAGGAGCAGCCCGGCAAAACGGGGCCAAGACAUGUUUCGAAUGCUUCUCUUCCCACAAAGUGCUAACCGUUUAGCGUAGCCCUCCACGACGUGGAGCCACUGGUCAGUUGGCCCCUUGCCCCCAACUUGCUGCCACUGUAUUCUUCCUCCUAACUGCAGCAGCAUCUCAAUUUGAUCCACUCGCCACACAAAGGUGACCCUUGCAAUGCACUGGAAUGUAUACGCUGUGAUAUUGCAACAUCCUCCACCUCUCGUCUCCGACAAUGCUAAUCAAACUUGCAUGGAUCACAAGCAACUAUUAAAAGUACAGCUGUCUUCUACCGCAGAGGCACAGCCUGCUGCUCUUCUUCUUCUUUCAAUUUUUUAUUUAUUUUUGUAAAUACCUCCAUCCCAUUUCCGCUUUCAAACAUUCAGUAAACUCCCCUCAUCCAACCUGCUGUGUGUAAAGUUCCACUGAAUAAUAAAAGCGCAUUUUAGGAGCAGAAUAAAGCUCUGGGGCUGCGCUUGUGUCGAUGGAAUAAGAAAAAGGCAGGGUGGGAGUACGGUUGGUACACUUUCUGCCUCAUCCACCGAUCAGGGCAUCCUCCCAGCUCUUCCCCCUCAGAAUGCACAUGAUGGAGAGAAGAGUGCUGCAGUUUUUUUUUUUUCGCUCCACCCCUCCUUUUCUCGCUCUUCUCCCCCUUUUUUUUUCUUCCUCUCAAAUAGCAUCUCUUCAUGUCAGCUCUACGUCUUCCUCCUCUAAAGGUAUGACUUGUGUUUGUGUGGGAAUGUGCGUGCAUGUGUGUAUGCCCGCUGCUCCCCCUCCCUGACUCUGGCACUCAACCCGCCCCGCCAACACCCUCCUCCUCCCCCCAAUCAUAGAAGCUGAUUCAGCGAGUCAGGCGUGCACCCGGCACACACGAUGGCUGCAGCAGCUGGAGCGCUCUCUAGGUCAUUAUGGCUCUCUUCACUACGGGAAGAAGGAAGAGAGGAAAGGGGAAGAGAGGAGGAGCGGCUCAGAUAAGAAACUGAUCUGACAGGUAAUAUAUGCUCUUCCAUCGCUUUUGGACGGAGUUUACCCCUGACGGGCCUUGAUGUCUCCCCCGUCCUGUCUCUCUUUGCGCUCUCUUCUUCGGAUGCAAUCAGUUAUUAACCGCAUGGUUUGCCUGUGAGACGUGUAGUCGAAAGGGGGAGAGGACUGUGCUGUUCUGCAGCAGCAGCAGCAGCAGCAGCACUGGGACAGAACUUAACCAGAGAACACCUUUGGGCUUUUUUCCCUCCCCUUCUCCUUCUCUUGUUCUUCUUGUCAUUAGGAAAAGGGAGGAAAAAAAUCAAGGCUUUGUAAAAAGAAAAAGUACGGAGAGGAAGAGGAUGCAGGAAGAGGUGAAACAGGGCUGGGGAGUUGCUGUGGUCCACAUGGAUUUUAGCCCUUUUUUUUCCUCCCCCCCACACUCUCCACUCUAUCUCUCUCAUCUUUUUCUUUCUCUCUCCCUCCCUCCCUUCCUUGUCUUGCUCUCUCUCCCUCUCUUGUGUUCCUGGCACUGGCCGGACAUGCUGCAGCAGCACAGCUCUUUGGCUCAUUAGGCUUCAUGGUUGCAGCCCUGCCGCUACCUAAUGACGGACUCGUUAACUCAGACCUGCACUGGUGUGGAGACGUUUCCUUAUCCACAGUUCGCCCUCUGCAUCCGACAGCUUCCAAGAUGCUUUUUUUUUUUUUUGUCUUCAUGACUAAAGGAUACUAAAUUGCUGGGACUUUUGAAGUGUCUUUUUGGUUCCUGUUUUUGUUUUUUGAUGUUUUUUUCUUUUUUUAAUACCAAUUGUUAACUAAACAGAGGGCGGGGGUGGUCACUGCCUUUCUUAAUUGAUAGGAGGUAAGUUUGAGGAUGCGUCGCACUCUUUGAGACCAAGGUUGACUGGCUGUGGCGGAAGAGUGGAAUUGUGACCAGAGGAAUGACGAAGCAUCAGAAUAAUGAACAGCGGGCAGGUCAUGAGUUCUGAAAAGGAGGAAAAGCGGAUUGACAGCACACAGCUGUGAGAAGUGUAUUAACACAGAUGUGGGGGGAAGGAGGGGGAAUGGUGGGAGGGGAUAUUGGGCAGCAAUGGCUGGCUGAGUAGAUGUGUGUCACUGGCUGAACCCAGAGCACUUAGGGUAGUAACCCAGUUUCUUCUCUCUCCCCCUCUCUCUCUCUUUUUGUAGCAGAUUGGUGUAGGUUAGGCAGGGCAUGCAGGGCACACAAUACUGCAGUGCUAUCGCCAAAACCAGAACAGACACAACAACCACUGGGCUAAUUUGCUGGUUCACGUCUCCCCAACCUCCAUCGUGCCCUGUGUAGGAAGGAAUUUCACUCCCUCUCACUCUCUCUCGGGCAGCUGUGACAUUUCCUAAGCAGGACGUCACACCUUUAGGACCAGGCUCAUCCACCUGCCCAACCCCAUCUUCGUGCUGAGAACAACAGUCACCUCCACUUACACCUACCCUCAUUACUAUUCCAAACGCUUCAACUGCAAAAACAUUGCACCACUUUUCCCAUUUAUUCAGUCCUCCUUGGCCACCUUAGUCUCCAAAUUCACACCUAAGCUGGUCUCCCCUAAUCCAUUUUCUGUUUUUGCACCCACUGCCUCAGCAUUCAGCCUGCCGGCUAGCUUAGCGUGGUUGGAGGCAGUGUCGACUUGUGGAAUGUGCUGGUCCGGGGCAAAGAUUCAUUAGAGACUUGCUGUACAAUUCUCACCACCAUGCAAAUGGUUAUUGAUCUGGUCCACCCGGCAAUAAAACAGCUGGUUCCACUGUAAACACAGACAAGUGAGGUUUGAUCAGAGGGAAAGGGGGACGCAAGAACAGUCUAUGAGUGGUAAAGGGAAUGAUUAACAGAGAGAGAGAGAGAGGGAGAGAGAGAGAGAGGGAGAGACAGAGAGGUGGUGAUGACGGUGUGUGUGUGUGUGUGUGUGUGUGUGUGUGUUGGGGGGGGACCAGGACCAAUCCACAAGUGCUGAGUGGGCAUUAGCGCCUUCAUGUGACCUAUGGCCUGCCUCUGUGCCUAAAGCCCAAAUCCUGCUCACAAUAGCUUCCUGUUCAACUUGGAUCACCCUCAUUUUCAAACAUCAGCAAGCGCUCCAGUUAGCCACUGGGGACGUUGCUGACACCAGAGAGACAAGGGACAGGAGAGAGAGGGGGGACGGUACAUAUCAGUACGUGAGAGGCGGUUAAAGGGGGAAAGGACACCGAAAGCGGGGCGGGAGGUGUAAUAAGAGAACGAAAUGAUGGUGUGGAGGAGAGGAAGCGAGGGUCUAGUGGGUGGAGACAAGUGAUAUGUUUAGUAUGUCAGCGGGACCGCUCAGCUUAUAGGUGCACCCCUGUUCCCAGGACACAGCAAAUGAUCGUCAUACGAGAGCGAGCGCACCUUACAACACUUUUUUUUCCUUUUCCCCCCCAAGGAGAAAACUCGUAUCUACUCAGCUGCUGCUUUUUUUUUUUUUUUUUUUUUAACCUCCAACCACUUAAAUCUAACUCCUCAACAUUUUUCCUGGACAGAGAAAAAGGCCACCUUUUGACUGCCUUAAAAAAAAGCAAGAAAAAAAAAGCUGUAUUCCUCCCUCUGAGCCUCCUGGUUUCUCCCAGUUGCCUGGAGGACAGCAGGGGUCACUGGGACAGUCGACUAUGGUAUGGACUCUAAAACUUCUGUUAUGUUCAGGGGCGGGGGGACUGGCUGUUCAGCCUUACAUGGCAACCAAAAGGAAAGCCUUGAGUGUUGAACUGAAUUUACACUCAAAGUCACCUUACAGUGCAGACUACCAUACUUGGGAGAGAGAGAACGGUGAGGAAAAAUGUUCUGCUCCUAACUUCCUGACCUUGGAAAGAGGUGAGAAAAUUUCAUAUCUAAGAUUACCUCCUUGGUGCACAUACUUCUUUAUGUACCCAUAUGAACAUAUGAUAGCUAUGGAAUGUAAAGAAGUAUGUAUUCUUGGUGAGGUUCAAGCCCUCGUUCUGGAAAACUGUUGUGCAGCACUGUCACAGGAUACGUUUAUGCUUUGUGUCAGAUGGUGAAAAGAAAAAUAGCAAACAAAGGUAAAAGUGAGGCAGGAAAAGAGUGAAUUAAUCUAAGUGGUGAGGCUCAUACAUUAGCUAUACUGUCUCUGGGCAGUCUCACUGCAGCAAUACUCGCUGUAGGGAAGUUUCUGCUUUCUCAAACUGGCUGACUUGGCCAAUAAAAAUCUCUCAUCCAAGAUACGUUAACAAUUCAUUUGACAAUUACUUGGCAUAAAAUGAUUGCAACCAUGUUUUAGGCUCUGACAGCAACCUACACCAGCUAUGAGCAGCUGCCUUGUGAGAGUGUCAUAUGAAUAGAGCUUCCUUUCAUUAUUGAGUGAUUUUGCUGCAUUACAGCCCUUGAAAUUCAGCCAGCUGCAACUUAGCACCAACUUCAGCGAGCAGCGAGUGGUAUGCUAGAGCUGUUGGACCAUUAAUACCAUAAUCUUUUCCAGUGCUGCAGCACAGUUCAAGUGGGGAAAGAAAGCAAGGUGAAUUGAACCAGCCGCCUGCUACGGUUGCUGGCUGUUUAAAAAUAAAUAAUAAUAAUUAAAAAAAACAACCAAACGAAAAAAAAAAAUAUGAAAGAGCGGUAAAUUGUUGCUGAGAAGGCAGAAUGAACUGAGGCCGCUAUUGCUGCUGUCACAACCCGGCUCUAACCUAUUGCAGUACCAUAUAGCUUCCGAGUUGACAACCUUGUGUGUUUAACUAUGGCUGCCCUUCCUUUAUGCUAGUGCCCUUAUCCACAUCCCCACCCCACAUCAACCCCGCUGCCCCGUUCUCCCCUCCCUUUCUCUGAUUUCUGUGCUCUUUGUUCACGUUUGCUAUGCUUGCCAAAUGCUUUGCUGGGCUGCAUGGCAGCCAGAUUAGACCAUCAAAAAGUGACAAUGCAGGAUCAGGGUCAACUCUGGCCUGUCAGCUGAUUCCAAUUGUCAACUGUUUCAAACAAAUAAAGGCAACAGAACAUAGGCAGAAGCGCAGUGAGAGAAAUGAAGCGAGGAGGGGGAAGAGGGAGGCGGGGAGUCGUUUGCAUGGAGAGCUAUUCAUAUCUAACACUCUCACCUAUUCUGACCCCCGCUGCAGCCCGUGUCUGGAUCAUAUAUAAGGCUUGUACCAAUUUUAGCACAGAUUUACCACCCCACUUUAAUAUACACAAUUCUCCCUCAUUUGGCUCCAGAUUUAAAAAAAAAAAAAAAAAAAAGA
Long non-coding RNA from Oreochromis niloticus (Nile tilapia), 5748 nucleotides. RefSeq lists it as uncharacterized. The record is from RefSeq and is a predicted model, not a curated record. The transcript is spliced from 3 exons. Lineage: Eukaryota; Metazoa; Chordata; Actinopteri; Cichliformes; Cichlidae.